GUUUGUCAGACUCAUCAUUCUUUGAAGAACUGAACUGCACUUGGACUAUCAACGCCUUGAGGUGAGGACGGCCGGUUCCUGCUCCCCUGCACACUGUUU
This is a long non-coding RNA of Nothoprocta perdicaria, 99 nucleotides long. RefSeq lists it as uncharacterized. The transcript is spliced from 2 exons. The record is from RefSeq and is a predicted model, not a curated record. NCBI's taxonomy places the organism in Eukaryota, Metazoa, Chordata, Aves, Tinamiformes, Tinamidae.